UACGUAGGGGGCAAGCGUUGUCCGGAUUUAUUGGGCGUAAAGGGCGCGUAGGCGGCCAUGCGUGUCUUCCGUGAAAUCCCUCGGCUCAACCGAGGACGUGCGGAAGAAACUGCAAGGCUCGAGUCCGGAAGAGGGGGGCGGAAUUCCCAGUGUAGCGGUGAAAUGCGUAGAUAUUGGGAGGAACACCAGUGGCGAAGGCGGUCCCCUGGGCCGGAACUGACGCUGAGGAGCGAAAGCGUGGGGAGCGAACAGG
Molecule: ribosomal RNA, 253 nt
Filed under: uncultured bacterium
Lineage: Bacteria
Description: partial 16S ribosomal RNA
Rfam family: Bacterial small subunit ribosomal RNA
Source: RNAcentral